This 459-nucleotide ribosomal RNA is filed under the name uncultured bacterium. RNAcentral describes it as "partial 16S ribosomal RNA". It matches the Rfam family "Bacterial small subunit ribosomal RNA", at positions 28 to 523 of the family's 1533-position model. The record is from RNAcentral.
GACGAACGCUGGCGGUGUGCUUAAUACAUGCAAGUCGAACGGCUCUUCGGAGCAGUGGCGGACGGCUGAGUAACGCGUAGGUAACGUGUCUCUUACUGGGGGAUAACAUCGGGAAACUGGUGCUAAUACCGCAUAAGUCACGAGUUGAAAUACUUGUGAUUAAAGAAUUUCGGUAAGAGAUCGGCCUGCGUCUGAUUAGCUAGUUGGUAGGGUAAUGGCCUACCAAGGCGAUGAUCAGUAGUUGGUCUGAGAGGAUGACCAGCCAGAGUGGGACUGAGAACGGCCCACACUUCUACGGAAGGCAGCAGUAGGGAAUUUUGCGCAAUGGGCGAAAGCCUGACGCAGCAACACCGCGUGCGGGAUGAAGGCCUUCGGGUCGUAAACCGCUGUCGGCAGGGAAUAAAUUGACUGUACCUGCAAAGGAAGCACCGGCUAACUACGUGCCAGCAGCCGCCGCAG